AUUGAACGCUGGCGGCAUGCCUUACACAUGCAAGUCGAACGGUAACAGGUCUUCGGAUGCUGACGAGUGGCGAACGGGUGAGUAAUACAUCGGAACGUGCCCGAUCGUGGGGGAUAACGAAGCGAAAGCUUUGCUAAUACCGCAUAAGAUCUACGGAUGAAAGCAGGGGACCGCAAGGCCUUGCGCGAACGGAGCGGCCGAUGGCAGAUUAGGUAGUUGGUGGGAUAAAGCUUACCAAGCCGACGAUCUGUAGCUGGUCUGAGAGGACGACCCGCCACACUGGGACUGAGACACGGCCCAGACUCCUACGGGAGGCAGCAGUGGGGAAUUUUGGACAAUGGGCGAAAGCCUGAUCCAGCCAUGCCGCGUGCAGGAUGAAGGCCUUCGGGUUGUAAACUGCUUUUGUACGGAACGAAAAGACUCUUUCUAAUAAAGAGGGUCCAUGACGGUACCGUAAGAAUAAGCACCGGCUAACUACGUGCCAGCCGCCGCGGUAA
RNAcentral lists this ribosomal RNA (497 nucleotides) under uncultured bacterium. RNAcentral's name for it is "partial 16S ribosomal RNA". It matches the Rfam family "Bacterial small subunit ribosomal RNA", at positions 30 to 523 of the family's 1533-position model. The record is from RNAcentral.